CUGCUCACUUUGACAGCACGCUUACUAAAACUGGAAUGAUACAGGAAAGAUUAGUGUGGUCCCUGCACAAGGAGGCCACAACAGUGACAACCAAGAUCCUCAU
Molecule: small nuclear RNA, 103 nt
Organism: Ahaetulla prasina
Lineage: Eukaryota; Metazoa; Chordata; Lepidosauria; Squamata; Colubridae
Source: RefSeq, a predicted model, not a curated record